RNAcentral lists this ribosomal RNA (253 nucleotides) under uncultured bacterium. RNAcentral's name for it is "partial 16S ribosomal RNA". It matches the Rfam family "Bacterial small subunit ribosomal RNA", at positions 524 to 776 of the family's 1533-position model. The record is from RNAcentral.
UACGGAGGGUGCAAGCGUUGUCCGGAUUUAUUGGGUUUAAAGGGUGCGUAGGCGGCCCGUUAAGUCAGCGGUGAAAGCCCACUGCUCAACAGUGGAACUGCCCUGGAAACUGGACGGCUUGAGUACAGACGAGGGCGGCGGAAUGGAUGGUGUAGCGGUGAAAUGCAUAGAUACCAUCCAGAACCCCGAUUGCGAAGGCAGCUGCCUAGACUGUAACUGACGCUGAGGCACGAAAGCGUGGGGAGCAAACAGG